UGAGGAAUAUUGGUCAAUGGACGCAAGUCUGAACCAGCCAAGUAGCGUGCAGGAUGACGGCCCUAUGGGUUGUAAACUGCUUUUAUAUGGGGAUAAAGUGGGGAACGUGUUCCCUUUUGCAGGUACCAUAUGAAUAAGGACCGGCUAAUUCCGUGCCAGCAGCCGCGGUAAUACGGAAGGUUCGGGCGUUAUCCGGAUUUAUUGGGUUUAAAGGGAGCGUAGGCCGUUUGGUAAGCGUGUUGUGAAAUGUAGGAGCUCAACUUCUAGAUUGCAGCGCGAACUGUCAGACUUGAGUGCGCACAACGUAAGCGGAAUUCAUGGUGUAGCGGUGAAAUGCUUAGAUAUCAUGAAGAACUCCGAUUGCGAAGGCAGCUUACGGGAGCGCAACUGACGCUGAAGCUCGAAGGUGCGGGUAUCGAACAGG
This 424-nucleotide ribosomal RNA is filed under the name Verrucomicrobiota bacterium. RNAcentral's name for it is "Verrucomicrobia bacterium partial 16S ribosomal RNA". It matches the Rfam family "Bacterial small subunit ribosomal RNA", at positions 355 to 776 of the family's 1533-position model. The record is from RNAcentral. Lineage: Bacteria; Pseudomonadati; Verrucomicrobiota.